AGAGGAGCAAGGCCGGGUGCUCCGUGCUGGUCAUAGGUGCUUGAGACACCUAGAAGAUGGUUUCUGGUGGCAUUUGCAUUCAGCAAGGAGGAAGAGGAUCUGAGAACUUCAGCCCUGAUUUUCUUUCCCAAAGGCCGCAAGUCUGAGGGGAAUGACCAGUGCUUCCACUGGACCAUUAGAAUACUACAAGAAGAUACAGCAGAGAUGGUUUAUAAGCCAAGUACAGAUUUCUCAGCAAAAUUAAGCAUGACUGAAUCAAGAGCUCCAGCAUGUUCCUUAGGAAGAGGAGAUUCAAUUAACAGGAAGGAUAAUGAAAAAGGCACUCAAAUAAUAACUGUCCUCCUUCUCAACUUUUUAUACAGCUUUGUCUUUUUAGCAAAACAAGAUUUCAGCUAAAAAAAAAGAAAUGCUGGACACUUAAGCAGCUUGUUAAUAAAAUUUCCCCAGCUGGUUUUAUUAACUUCAUUUAAGCACAUUGUGGUUUGCAUUUUUAUAAGGCUAAUGGGUCCUGUUUGGUAAUUUAUUGGAAUGAUGCUCCAUUUCAGCUUUACACAUUUUUUAAAGCUGUUAUUUAUGGUUUACUUUUUCAACAAAGGGGCCAUUUGGGUUUUUUUUAUGCCUUUUUAUUUAUGGUUUACCAUGCUAACCCUGGAGUUUGUUAACAUAACAUCAAAAAUAUACAUUCCAAUUGACUUCCUGUUCCUGAGAGUGAUGUUUGAAUGGCUCGAAUAAAAACAAGCAGAGGAAUGGAAACGGAGAUCAGGUACAGCAAAAAAAAAAAAAAAAAAAAUUCUAGAAGGAGGCAAGAUUAAAAGAUAAGGAAAUAACAAAAGCCAAGUUCCUUGGGCUAACUUACAAGCACCGAGCCAUUUCUAUAAAAGUUUAAUUGCCCCCAUAAAAAACCCUCUAUGUACUCAGAACAUAUUAAAACAGGCUGCUUGUGUGGUCAUGCUAAUUGUUCCUAGAGGCCUUUAUGUAAUUCUGAAUCUGCUCUUUAUUGGGAGUGUGUGCUGCCGAUGGUCCUGAUCCAUACAUCUACAAGCAUAACUUUAAACAUGAGUAGUCCCAAUAACUUUAAUGCAUUUACAUACUUAAAGUAAGGCUCUGCUUAAGUUUGUGAAUAACAUCAUGCAUUAUACAGGGUUAAGCUAAGGUGUGAAUUUAAACUGAUUAGUUAACUUUCCAUGCAGAAACUCUUAUUCUGGUAUAAGAGUGCCGUUUUUAUUUAUUUAUUUAUUUGUUUUAGCUUAUGUCAUUUGGGAAGGAGUUUAAGCUAAACUGAAAGAGCCACUGUUAUACUGGAAUAAGAGUGUGCACAUGGGGAGUUAUACGGCUUUAAUUGUACCAGUAUAAUUAUAGCAGUAAACUUGCCUGUGUAGACAAGCCCUUUAAAAUAUGUCUAUCCCAUUUUUAGUGAUCAUGCACACCAUAUUGCUUGUAAUUGGUUGCUUACGGAGGAAAAUCUGACGAAACAGUUAGGCGCUACUGUAAA
This is a long non-coding RNA of Chelonia mydas (Green sea turtle), 1492 nucleotides long. RefSeq lists it as uncharacterized. The record is from RefSeq and is a predicted model, not a curated record. NCBI's taxonomy places the organism in Eukaryota, Metazoa, Chordata, Testudines, Cheloniidae. The transcript has 3 exons.